Biomphalaria glabrata is the source of this 2533-nucleotide RNA transcript. It is a transcript of the gene named probable phosphorylase b kinase regulatory subunit beta, with no coding region annotated. The transcript is spliced from 14 exons. The record is from RefSeq and is a predicted model, not a curated record. NCBI's taxonomy places the organism in Eukaryota, Metazoa, Mollusca, Gastropoda, Planorbidae.
ACUGGCUUUGAUUUCGUUUUGAGAUGGGGCAGAAUUUUGUGUGACUGAUUAAGCCUUAUAUUCUGGAGUGGCAGAGUUUGACACAGUUCGUGCAUGUAUAGAUCUAUAUAUGUGUAGUGGAGUGGAUAUCUUAUCAGGAAACACCGGCCACCCCGAUAUCCACGUGACCCUUCCCCCUAAAUGGUACCUUGUGUCCGCGCAUGACAAGGCAGACCAACAUGGUCACUGUUGAUUCGACCGGCAUCUCCCGUAUGUUACUGGACCUACGUCGUCUCCACUCCCUGUUUGUGUCUGGUUCUACACCAUGUGUUUAUGUAUGGCUGCAGAUUGUUGAACCAGUCAUUCAUUGACAGUUGUUUAUAGUAAACAAAGGAACAAAAUGAAGACACAAUGUCCAGAUGCAUGAAUUGGAGAUUUAGUAACAAAAGAAAAAGAACCUCAUAUGCUGAACAUAAAACUUAAUGGUUUUUAUAUGCUCUCAAAACAUCAAAUCUUGCGAAACCAGAGUCCUAUCAAUGGUCUUUUUCCUUCUAUUGGAUCUGACAAGAAUACAAAUAGAAUAGCUCAUGUUCAGGAUUCUAUUUACUGUGCAGUUGCUGUUUGGUCACUGGCUCAAGUUUAUAAAAAGAUUGAUGAUGACCAGGGCAGUAUCAUUAGUUGGGCCAAGCUGAUGAUAGGUAUGUUGCAAUGUUGGAUAUUCAAGUUGGCCUCCUUCAGUCUUAGAGCGACUAUGGUUCAUCUCAAACACUUUUCCAUGUGCAAUGUUGGAUAUGACAGGCAGAUAAAGUAGAAAAGUUCAAAUCCAAUUAAGUCCAGCAUAUGCCCUGCACUCUACAUUGGAUCUUGUCACUGGUUACCCAGCAUACAGAGGCAAAGAAUAUGAACAUUUGCAAAUAAUAAAUGAACACCUUUGAUUUGGAUUCCUCAACUGAAGGAAACAUACCAAUACUAGAACAGUCUUAAAAAAACAGCAGUGAGGCCAACUAGAGUUGCACUAUAUCUCCUGGAUUACCAGUAAAUAGAAAUACUGUUUCAGCAAGGGAUUCAUUCAACAGAUGAAGUCAACUUCAUACAGAAUCUAGUUUUUUAUGUGGAGAGAGCUUAUAGAACACCUGACUAUGAGCUUAUAGAACACCUGACUCUGGGAUGUGGGAAAGAGGAAAUAUAACAAUGGAAGCAUAGAGAUUCAUGCCAGUUGGCAUUGCUAGAGCAGCAUUAAGGCAGUCAAUGAAUGUAACUUAUUUGGUGAGCAUGGAGCCACCUGGUCUGGGAUUUUUGUUAAUAUUGAUGCCCACCACAGGAACAGAACAAUAUUUGAAACUAUCUGACCAUGGGAAUCAAACUCUGAGAACACUGAUGCCUCUCCGUAAGUUGGCCUGCAUUAGCCGUAAAUGAAGAUAAUGUUAGAAUGAAAACAAUUGAGAAGGUCAUUCGCAAGUUAAAGGCAACUUUGGUAUCAAACAUUUUCCUAGAGAUAGGUACAAAACAGCUGUAGAGGACAAAAAUAGAAAGUAUUACCGCCCUGCUGAAAUUAAGUUUUGAUGGGAUUGAAUUUGAGGGACCUAAGGUGUCAUUUUAAUUGAUUUACAUUUAUAAGCACAGUAAGACUUUCUGAUCUUUUGGCAUCAUUUUACAUAGCUCAGGCCCCUUCAUAUGUUGACCUAACAAAGUCAAAGUUGCCAAGGAGAGUUGAGUAAAUAGAAGCGCAAAAGUUUCAUUUAUUAACUUUUAAAGCAAUAACACAGUUGAAUGUUCAAGUAUCCACCAGACAGAUGAAUGUUCAAGUAUCCACCAGACAGAUGAAUGUUCAAGUAUCCACCAGAUAGAUGAAUGUUCAAGUAUCCACCAGACAGUUGAAUGUUCAAGUAUCCACUAGACAGAUGAAUGUUCAAGUAUCCACCAGACAGUUGAAUGUGCAAGUAUCCACUAGACAGAUGAAUGUUCAAGUAUCCACCAUUUCAUUAAUUAUCAUAUUUCUCUUUUAGGAAAAUGUUUCUGUUUUCACUUUAUUUUAUUUUGUACCAGUCUAUUAUUUUGUACCAUUAAAAAUUUAUAUUUUAUGUUAGUAAAAAAGAUGUUUGAAAUUUUGUAGCAAAAUUUUUUAAAAAAAUCUCCUCUAUAUAUAUUAAAAUAGUAAUUUACUCAACCUUGGAAUCCUAUCACUGAACUGGGAAAGCUAGCUUUGAUUGUUUUUGUUGUUGUAAAUAUCCAUAUGGAUAGUGUGUAUAUUAUGCAAAGGUUGAUUAUUAGCUGUUAAGGUUGGAAUUUUCCUUUUUUUAAUUUUUACAUGAUUUCAAUGUUAAAUACCACUGUAGUUGUCUUUCUGAUAAUGAUGCUAUGAUGUGGUCUUGGUAUAUUUUUUCUGUGAUUAGAUGUUGUAACAUAUAGAUAUUGACAAUGUAAAAAGUUUAUAUACAACCAAGUUCAUACAUUAAUCUAUUUCACAAUCAUACAAACUAUAAACUGCGUAAAGCUUUUUGUUAUUAUUAAAAAUAUAAACUGUAAAGUAUUGGAUACUAAAAUGCAUUUUAAU